Molecule: non-coding RNA, 7118 nt
Organism: Elaeis guineensis (African oil palm)
Lineage: Eukaryota; Viridiplantae; Streptophyta; Magnoliopsida; Arecales; Arecaceae
Source: RefSeq, a predicted model, not a curated record
CAGCCCACGGUAUAGGAGAAGCGGCAAAUCCAUCGAGCCUCAAAACGGAGGCGGCGCCGCAGAAGAAGGGAUACGAAGAGGUGCGGCUUCACGCGAUUCUUAUCUAUCCAUUACUCCGCACCGCAACUCCACGGGACUUUGGCUCCACCUUUCCCUCCAAGAAAAUAUUUUAUUUUAGCUUUCAUCUCAAGCAACAGGAAGCUUUCCCCUUUUUGUAUAAAUCCCCUCAACAUCCUCCCCUUCUCAAGAAAAUUAUACACCUCUCCUCUUCCUCCUCCUCCUAUUCUUCAACAAGGUUGGCAGUAGAAGCGCUGUGUCACCGUCGAUAUGGAAUCACCAGAAGGUAAGACUGGAAUGGAGCUUCCGCAACCUACCUCCCCUUGCUGGAAGAAGAAGUCGGCAGACGCGAGCUUUGUGGCUAAUUGUAAGGACCACUUUGAUCAGCUUGUCCAUACUUCAAUGGAGCAGCACAGGAUUUGCCUCAAGAAGAGCAUGAGGGAACUUAAGGACUAUAUUAGGCUCAAGAAACAAGGCGCGAUGGUGAAAUCAUCAAGGGAUGAUAAUGAGAGGAAUUCAGCAGCUGAUAAAGAAAAAGAAGGUUCCAUGUCGGUCCACGAGGUGACAUCCUUAUAAGAUCCAACAUGUUUGAUGAUUUGUUCUUGAGGACAGUUUUGGAGUAGUUUUCACAGGUGGCAAGAAUUCAUCUUGGCAGUUUUGAAGUCUUCUUUAGAUCAUAAGACUAAUUUCUUUUUUAUUUUAAAGCACUGGACAUAUGGAUAACUUUUAUACACUUUCCAUGGUGCAUUUUUUUUUUUUCAGUACUUAUUAACUUGAAGUUUUACAGCAAUUUGUGAUUCAUUGCGUUUUCCUGGAGCUCUUGCAAUUUUUGGUUGAGCAAUUCAGUGAUUCGUUUCAGUUAUUAGCGAUGUGUGGGCCCUCGAGAUCUUGUUAUUAUCUGUGGAAAGACUUGAAAACUGGCAACUAUUCCUGUUUUCCUGGUCCUGUUUUUAUUGUUACAGUAAUUUAACUUGAGCUGAGUAUGCACUACUUCAACAAUUGUACUAGUUUCAUCAUGAAACGACAAAGAGUAUUGUACAUUUGGCAGCCAGUGCUGGUUAUUGCAUCGCUGUAUUCUUGUUUAUAUUGCAAUCCCACAGUGUUUCUUUCAGUCCUUACGCACUUAUUUACUUGGAUGGUUACUGAAAAAGUUUCUUUUGAUCCAUGGUGACAAGAUCUAGACCAUCUUAGCCAGCAUGUCUCUUAUACUCGAGAUCAAUUAAAACAUUUAUAGUGUAAUGAUUUAGGUUUAAGUUUUGUAGUUCUUGGUUAGCUUUUGCUGUCUACCUCUUUUUUUGUAGGACAGUGAAAAUGUUCAAAUUUAAGAUUCAUCAUCAUAUGUUGUUCACAUUUCUUAUUUACAUAUUGUUUUCUUUUCCUGUGGAUUGUGGUUUAAAACGUGUGGAAAAUAAACAUAUUUUCCCCCGAUAAAGUAAUUGCAGAAUCAAAUAUUAGAUCCUUCCAUUUAUACCUUCAAACUGUCUGUUUUCCAACUGAAUUAAACUGGACCAAUGUAUUGCCUAUUUGCCACUGCAACUCCACAUGCUUAAUUUCUUCCUCCUCCUAUGUGCAUUAGUUUUGCCUGCUUAGUGCACCCAAGAGGCAUGUCCGUAGAGAGAGCUCAAGAAUGUCUUGUGAUGGACUGGAAGCGAUAUUCUUUUACUGCUGCAGUGUGUUAUAAAUUGACUGUAGGAUAUUCAUAUGUUCUUGUGGUAAAUAGUGCAUGGAAGAGAAAAGGUGCAGAGGAGGUUGUGGAAGAGAUCUCCCAUCAUCCUAAGGUGCUAGUCCUUCAUGAACAUCUCCAUUUGCAGUGCGACUGAAAUCAGUUUUCUAAGAUUGUAAAAACAUUCACCUCUGUUAGCAUAAUUCUUGGCCUAUGCUUGGAUGUUGAUUAUUUGAAUGUCAUCACAAAAUGCAAGUGCUUGAGUUAAAGACCCAGGAAAACAAUGGAUCAAGAUGGUGAAACACUGGAGGAACAUUAUGAACAAGAAUUUCCUUAUGGAUUUGGUCUAUGGAAUUUGAAGAUGGAUGGUUCUAUAGAACUAGAUCGCUUAAUAUAUAUUUCAAGAGUGACAAAUAUCUAUAUAAUAUAUUAUAAUGUAUUAAAGUUUGGUGAAUUGACAUUAUGAUUCAACAUUUUAGUUGGGUAUUCUGUAACUUCAAUUUGGUUACACCAAUGUUGCAUUGUAUAACAAAUUGAUCAAGAAAGCUCUCCUAACUCCGAAGGAUAACAUGAACCUAGAAUUAUUUGUUAAUCAAUCUUUUGUUAUGAAAAGUGAUUUCCAUUUGCCAGCAGGAAUUGGGUACAAUGGUGGAAGCCCCUUUUCUGGGUUUGCUCACUGGAAAGUUCAGGAUAUGGUGCCACAUUGCUACCAUAUUAUCAUGUUCUUGCAGCAAAAAAAGAAAAAAAAGCCUUGUUCCAGUAGUUGAUUGUUAGUUCCCCAUACAAUCAACAGUAAGUGCUUCUGUUUGCUUCACAAUGCCACAGUAGUGCCAUAUUAGAUAGGAUGCUGAAAAGAGUCACUUUCUUCAACUGAGAUAAAUUGGUUGACAAAAUGCAUGUUUGACCUACCACCAAGCACAUAUUUGCCCCAUGGACAACCAGGCAGGGGGAUAGAUUUGAAAGCAGUGUUGCCUCUUUCUUCAACUGACAUAAAUUGGUUGACAAAAUGCAUGUUUGACCUGCCGCCAAGCACAUACUCGCCCCUUGGACGAGCAGGCAGGGGGAUAGAUUUGAGGGUAGUGUUGCCUCUUUCUUCAACUCCAGAUUUAAAAAGUUUUGAUCAUGUCAACUUUGAGUCGGUACCUAGGUUGGGUCGAUGGGUAUAAAUUGGGUGAGGAUUAGCCCCGCAUGGUCCAAGGAAAAAAAAAACAAAAAAUGGUUGACCGUGGUGACCAAAAAAAUGAUAUACGGACCUUUUAUCUUUGUUAUAGGUUAUAUCGGCUGUCUUUCCAUUACGAAAAAAACAUAUAGGAACGGCUAUCUUUCCAUUACAAAAGAAACAUACAGGAACUGUUGUGAUCAAUCUUCUACUGCAUUUAGCUCCGAUAAAAAAUAAUUUGCAAAAAAAAUUUACAGAUCAAAAUUAUGUUCGAAGAAAUCUUUUGAUGUUUAAGUCGGUAGGAAGUCGUGAAUAGCAGAUAGAAUAUUCAAAAUAUCAGACUCUCAGCUCAAAAACGUCUUAUCAAUGCUGUUCAUUUAUCUUUUAUUUUUUAUAGACGAGUUGUUGAUAACCGUUUGUAACGGUUAGGCAUGUAGAUCCUAUUAUUCCGAAAUUAUAUGAUCGUAGGAUGGAUAGUUAAUAUCCAUCGAUAAUCGUGUAUGUAGCUGUUAUACGCCUUCUGCACUGGUAGUUUUCAAUAUGUCGAUUAUAUGUCGGUAUAUAUGGUAUAUUGACUGACUGUCAGUUGGUUAUUCUGGCAUACCGACUAGUCAGCGGUCAUCAUAGUUGAUUUAAUCUCGGAUGAAAGUUGAUUGAGAAUCUCUGAUUAUGUUUCGGUGUAACCGAUUGAUAGUCGGACGUUUCACUUGUUAGACCGAUUGAGAGUCGGGUGACAUAUUGUAAUCGGCCCGGAACUCAUUCCAUGAUGUGGCUUUGAUAGUCCAUUGUCCGUCGCCGACAUAUGGUUGGUUGGCCGAUUAUGAAUCAGGGGGAGUAGAUUCAAUUAUCCUAACAGUUGCUCCCUAAUCUCAAGUCCAAGAUGGCCUGACAUAUGGAUUGACACGUGUGUUGGCACGUUGGACGAAGAAAGUUGUCACAUGUUAUCUCGAGCUUCGAUUUAACUGUAGACAUUAAUGAUUGCUUUGAAAAUCGAAAGGUUUAUAGCGGUUUUAUCGUUUUGAUGGCCGUGCGACCAUCAUUGGGAUGUCAAUUCAAGAAAAUGGUUAGGCGACGAUUCGAUCGAUUUGAUUCUGAUUAGUCGAUUACCGUCAUGUGUCUAGUCGUUAUUGGCUCUUAACUGCUCAUGCGGAUAGAGAUGACAUGGUAUGAUCAGAUGGUAGGUGCGUUGAACCAUCCGAUCAAUAAUUGAUUUUGAUGUAGCUACAUGUCAAAAUCUGGGGCAAUCUUGAUCUGAACAAAUUCAUUCCGACCGUUGACGGGUUCUAUAUAUAUAAUGUUGCUUUUAUUUGGAUUUUCUAUUUCUUUGCUUGUCAUUUUUCCACAGUUGAGGGCUUUUCUAUGGGUGUGAAGAGCUUCAGGAGUCUAGGAGUCUUCCUCCCUGUGUCUUCGUGGUCUCCAGGACAUCCAUUAGCUUCAGGUUAGGUUUCUUUUUCUUCUUUUCCUUUUCUAGUCCCCUUUAAUUUUUUUUCCUACCAUUUUUUGAUGGCCAAUAGUAGUAGGAAGGGUAAGAAAAUUGUUAGAAUAGAUGAGCCCCCUUGGGAUAGUCGAUCGAAUGACCCGGUUGACGAUGCUCCUUUGGGUCCGGAUGUAGAAGUUUCUUCUUUUUUCAGAUCCAAUAUUGAUCGGCUUAGGGAACAAUAUCAUAUCUCAGAGCAAUUCAGCUCUUUGCGCCUGGUCCAAAUGGUCGGGUGAGUUCUUUUCCUUCGGAUUAGGUGGCAAUUUAUGUGGAGGACCUUCAGAUUGGUCUUCAUUUUCUUAUUCUGGAGUUUAUCCGGAAUCUUUUUGAUUAUUACAGUCUUUGUCCUAUCCAGUUAGCCCCGAACUCCAUUCGGUUAAUCAUCAGUUUUACUUUAUUAUGUCAUAUGAUCCCGACCAACCCUCGGUGUUCUUUUUUUCGUGCUUUUUUUGUUCUUCGUCCUCAUCCAAAAGCCAAGGGUUGGUGGUUCUUCAAUCCAGGAAAGUUCUGUCCUUCAUUUUUGGCCUUCCUUCGUCCAUUCACAGGUGGAAUAAUCAAUUUUUCUUUAUUUUUUCUUCUUUGCCUUCAGGCUUUCCUUCCUCCUGGAGAAAUCCAAAGACAAGCCUUAAUGAGCAUAGUCAAGUCAAAGUCAUCAAUCGAGAAGGCUUUAUCCGACUGAAAGAUAUGGAAGUUCCUGCGCUAUGGGAGCUGUUGACAGAACAAGCUCUCUACGACAUUAGACUUAGUUCGGUGGCUUCCCUAGCUAUGCAACCAGCGGCGCGAGUCUCAAUAGUUGAUGUCCCACAAUAUGCUGCCAAAAAGAGAGCUGCGGCUGGUGCAGGGCCAUCCCGAGCACUAAAAAAAAGUCAGACCGACACACAGUCGGCGACAGCGAGGAAGACUGACACUCCGUCGAUAGUCAUUUCAAAAAUUGAACCCAUCGUCAUGCUGUCGGCUCCGACAGUACUUCCAUCAGUCAAAGUGCCUCUGCCUAUCAUGGUUGUUGAACUACCACUAGUCAGAACAAUAUCGGUCAGUGUAGAGCCGAUGGAGUCUUGAAAAAUUCUUGCAUCCGAACCAGGACCGGCCACCGCAAUGCCGAUGGUAACUUGGGCACCCUCAACGGGGUUGACAUUAUCUCGGGUACCCUCAACAUCUGAAUGGAUGGUGGCUUCAAGCGAGCGGCCACCCACUGGAGAGCGGGGAAAGGCACCAGCUUUGUCGGCUGACGAUGGGUCGUCGAUGGGCUUCACAGUGCUCUUCAACAUCCGAAUUCCUACAGGUGAGUCGGCCUUGGCGAAUCUGAAAUUAGCCAAGUGACUCAUUGAAGCUGCAUGUUUUUCAACUAACAGGAAGAGCAGGAAGGAUCGAACGAUGUCCGAGAUAUUUUCAUCUUUUUAUCUGAUGAUGCUCAGCGCCUUAGAGAGCGGAUAUCGAAAAAUUACCGACUUUCACCGAAUAUGGAUGGAUAAAGUUGCAGCCGCCAAUGUUGAGAAAGUUACGGCUAUUGAACGGUUCUAGAUGAUGACUGAGUGAGAGGAGAAGUAUCAAGAGGAAAACUCUCACAUGAAGGUGAAACUAGAGUCGGUAAAAGUUGAGCUAGAAUCGGCAAGGGGCGAGUUACAGUCGGCCCAUGCUGAGUUAGAAUCGGCACAGCAGACCGUCAAGUCUCAGGAGUCUCGAAUUAAAAAGAAGAAAUAUGAAGUUAAUCGACUCUAUAAAGACUGUGACGGUUGUACCAAAGAAUUAGAGAAAGAACGAAAGAAGCAUCGGGCCACUAAAGCAAGGUUAGCACUGGCCAAUGCAGAAUCAGCCUCCAUUAAGAAGGAAGCACAGUCGGCUAAGGAAGCUCUCAGUCGGGCGUGGGAGCAGGCCAUUGAGGAUUAUAAGGAGUCCAAAGAUUUCAAAAAUGAAAUCCUCGAGGGUGGCUGCACAUCUUACUGAGUCGGUUAUGAGGAUGGGAGGGAUGUGGUCGGGCAGCUUUAUCUUGAUCUAGAUCUGAGUAACAUGACCAUCCCAGCUGGUGCACUAGGAGAGGAGCCAGCUGAUGAUAUAAUAGCCCCGAUUGAAAAAGUUGCACCGAUUAUGAUAGAGUCGGCCCCAGUUGUAACCGUAUUAGAGUCGGUCAGGGUAGAGUCGGCUAUUGUCGAAGGCUACGAAAUUAGAGCUGCGACGGCUGCUGAUAUAGUCGAGGAAGAAACUGACUGAUGAUCGGUAUAGAUAUCCUUUUCUUUCUUUUUUGUAAUUGGACAAUAGUGCAACUCACCUUUUGUAAUCGGAUUUUGGGUCGAAUUUUGUAAUUCUUUGCUCAUGAAUGAAAAAAAAAGUUUUCCAAAUGUUGAAAAUUUUUUAAAUAUUGAACUUCUUAUAUGUCACCUUUUUGAAUAUGAUGUUCAUUAUUACCGACAUAGUUGAAUAUCAGUCGGAUAAUCGAAUGCUAAACAAACAGCCAAAUAUUAGUCGGAGUCCUGAAUGACGAUUGGUAAUUGAAGUCAUAGAAUUUGCCUGUUAGCUGCAUACUAAUUAACUGAACUUUAAAUGCAAUUUUUUUUAAGUAUAGUCAAGUAUCAAUUGAUUAAACUUUAGGCAUGAUUUUUCUAAGUAUUUGAUAGAUGAAGGUUAGCUGAAUAUCCUUCAAUUAAUCGAAGUUAAGUCAGUUUAUUAUUGCAUUCAAUCAUGGUCGAAUCAGCAUACUAUUCCGCUUAGUCAUUGGUAAAUUGACAUGUGUAGUCAUUUGACUUGAUUCGGCAUUUACAGUUGUC